This 376-nucleotide unclassified non-coding RNA is filed under the name uncultured bacterium. RNAcentral's name for it is "contains 16S-23S intergenic spacer region". The record is from RNAcentral.
UCCGGUUUGUCACCGGCAGUCUCCCAUGAGUCCCCAACCUAAUGCUGGCAACAUGGAACGGGGGUUGCGCUCGUUGCGGGACUUAACCCAACAUCUCACGACACGAGCUGACGACAGCCAUGCAGCACCUGUGCACGGACUCCGAAGAGGAACCGAUGUUUCCACCGGCUUUCCCGUGCAUGUCAAGCCCAGGUAAGGUUCUUCGCGUUGCAUCGAAUUAAUCCACAUGCUCCGCCGCUUGUGCGGGCCCCCGUCAAUUUCUUUGAGUUUUAAUCUUGCGACCGUACUCCCCAGGCGGGAUGCUUAAUGCGUUAGCUGCGCCACUGACAGGCAAGCCUGCCAACGGCUAGCAUCCAUCGUUUACGGCGUGGACUAC